GAUGAACGCUGGCGGCGUGCCUAAUACAUGCAAGUCGAGCGAACGGACGAGAAGCUUGCUUCUCUGAUGUUAGCGGCGGACGGGUGAGUAACACGUGGAUAACCUACCUAUAAGACUGGGAUAACUUCGGGAAACCGUAGCUAAUACCGGAUAAUAUAUUGAACCGCGUGGUUCAAUAGUGAAAGACGGUUUUGCUGUCACUUAUAGAUGGAUCCGCGCCGCAUUAGCUAGUUGGUAAGGUAACGGCUUACCAAGGCAACGAUGCGUAGCCGACCUGAGAGGGUGAUCGGCCACACUGGAACUGAGACACGGUCCAGACUCCUACGGGAGGCAGCAGUAGGGAAUCUUCCGCAAUGGGCGAAAGCCUGACGGAGCAACGCCGCGUGAGUGAUGAAGGUCUUCGGAUCGUAAAACUCUGUUAUUAGGGAAGAACAAAUGUGUAAGUAACUAUGCACGUCUUGACGGUACCUAAUCAGAAAGCCACGGCUAACUACGUG
RNAcentral lists this ribosomal RNA (497 nucleotides) under uncultured bacterium. Its description in RNAcentral is "partial 16S ribosomal RNA". It matches the Rfam family "Bacterial small subunit ribosomal RNA", at positions 28 to 507 of the family's 1533-position model. The record is from RNAcentral.